CCUACUAGUCUCUCUCGCCUCCCCGAUACAUGUAGUGUACAGCGGUGCCAGUGGAGGUAUGUGUACAGUCGCCAUUGUCUGUCAGGAUUACUGGGGCAGAGGGGUAAUUAACCCUUUCACACCUAGGAGUUAUGGUUCCUACAAUAUAGGAUCCACUCAGUGGAUAUCUUCUAUAUAAGAUCUUUCUUCUGAUUGAUCAAGGAUGGACAGGGACAAGAUGGAGGAGGGUAUAAUAAAUCUCACCCUAGAGAUCCUCUUCCGGCUUACUGGAGAGGGCUACACAGUAGUGAAGAAGACCUCUAGUGAGCGCUGUCAGGACCCUGUGUCUGAA
This is a long non-coding RNA of Bufo gargarizans (Asiatic toad), 331 nucleotides long. RefSeq lists it as uncharacterized. NCBI's taxonomy places the organism in Eukaryota, Metazoa, Chordata, Amphibia, Anura, Bufonidae. The record is from RefSeq and is a predicted model, not a curated record. The transcript is spliced from 3 exons.